CUACGGGGUGCUGCAGUCGCGAAUCAUUUACAAUGCACGAAAGUGUGAUAAUGCGAGCCAAAGUGUUUUUCGUAUAGAAAAACUUUUUCUUACUGUAAAAAUGUAGGAGAAUAAGGACUGGGAAAGACCGGUGCCAGCCGCCGCGGUAAUACCGGCAGUUCAAGUCGCAUCCCUUUUUAUUGGGUCUAAAACAUCCGUAGCUUGUUUAUUAAGUCUCUUGUGAAAUCCCACGUCUCAAGCGUGGGGCUUGCAGGGGAUACUGGUAGACUAGAGAUCGGUAGACGUAAGGAGUACGCCGGAGGUAGUGGUAAAAUACGUUAAUCUUCGGUGGACUAACAAUCAGCGAAGGCACCUUACGAGGACGAAUCUGACAGUGAGGGAUGAAGGCCAGGGGCGCAAAACGGAUUAGAUACCCGGGUAGUC
Molecule: ribosomal RNA, 423 nt
Filed under: uncultured archaeon
Lineage: Archaea
Description: partial 16S ribosomal RNA
Rfam family: Archaeal small subunit ribosomal RNA
Source: RNAcentral